GUGCUAUACAUGCAGUCGAGCGAAUGGAUUGAGAGCUUGCUCUCAAGAAGUUAGCGGCGGACGGGUGAGUAACACGUGGGUAACCUGCCCAUAAGACUGGGAUAACUCCGGGAAACCGGGGCUAAUACCGGAUAACAUUUUGAACUGCAUGGUUCGAAAUUGAAAGGCGGCUUCGGCUGUCACUUAUGGAUGGACCCGCGUCGCAUUAGCUAGUUGGUGAGGUAACGGCUCACCAAGGCAACGAUGCGUAGCCGACCUGAGAGGGUGAUCGGCCACACUGGGACUGAGACACGGCCCAGACUCCUACGGGAGGCAGCAGUAGGGAAUCUUCCGCAAUGGACGAAAGUCUGACGGAGCAACGCCGCGUGAGUGAUGAAGGCUUUCGGGUCGUAAAACUCUGUUGUUAGGGAAGAACAAGUGCUAGUUGAAUAAGC
This 434-nucleotide ribosomal RNA is filed under the name Clostridium butyricum. Its description in RNAcentral is "bacterial SSU rRNA". It matches the Rfam family "Bacterial small subunit ribosomal RNA", at positions 44 to 467 of the family's 1533-position model. Lineage: Bacteria; Bacillati; Bacillota; Clostridia; Eubacteriales; Clostridiaceae. The record is from RNAcentral.